ACGGAAGGCAGCAGUGAGGAAUAUUGGUCAAUGGGCGGAAGCCUGAACCAGCCAAGUCGCGUGAAGGAAGACGGUAUUAUGUAUUGUAAACUUCUUUAGACGCAGAGAAAUAAGGGGCUCGCGAGCUCUGAUGCUAGUAUGCGUAGAAUAAGGAUCGGCUAACUCCGUGCCAGCAGCCGCGGUAAUACGGAGGAUCCGAGCGUUAUCCGGAUUUAUUGGGUUUAAAGGGUGCGCAGGCGGCGCUUUAAGUCAGUGGUCAAAUCGUGAGGCUCAACCUCAUCCCGCCAUUGAUACUGGAGCGCUUGAUUGCGGUUGAGGUAGGCGGAAUUCGUCGUGUAGCGGUGAGAUGCAUAGAUAUGACGAAGAACCCCGAUUGCGUAGGCAGCUUACCAAGCCGUAAAUGACGCUCAUGCACGAAAGUGCGGGGAUCGAACAGGAUUAGAUACCCUGGUA
RNAcentral lists this ribosomal RNA (453 nucleotides) under uncultured Porphyromonadaceae bacterium. RNAcentral describes it as "partial 16S ribosomal RNA". It matches the Rfam family "Bacterial small subunit ribosomal RNA", at positions 341 to 792 of the family's 1533-position model. The record is from RNAcentral. Lineage: Bacteria; Pseudomonadati; Bacteroidota; Bacteroidia; Bacteroidales; Porphyromonadaceae.